Molecule: ribosomal RNA, 644 nt
Filed under: Sebacinaceae sp. 11 MB-2012
Lineage: Eukaryota; Fungi; Basidiomycota; Agaricomycetes; Sebacinales; Sebacinaceae
Description: eukaryotic LSU rRNA
Rfam family: 5.8S ribosomal RNA (bases 243-396)
Source: RNAcentral
UCUUGGUCAUUUAGAGGAAGUAAAAGUCGUAACAAGGUUUCCGUAGGUGAACCUGCGGAAGGAUCAUUAACGAAUCAAAAGUCGGUCGACCGUGCUGGCGGAAACGCAUGUGCACGUCGGUCGCAAACCAAUCCACACACCUGUGAACGUAUGGCCUUUCGGGUCUCUCGACUCGGGGGCAACCCAUUUUUUACCCACUCUGAUCGUAAAGGAAUGUCUUUGCCUAAAGCGCAAAAGCAAACAACUUUCAACAACGGAUCUCUUGGCUCUCGCAUCGAUGAAGAACGCAGCGAAAUGCGAUAAGUAAUGUGAAUUGCAGAAUUCAGUGAAUCAUCGAAUCUUCGAACGCACCUUGCACCCUUUGGUAUUCCGAAGGGUACGCCCGUUUGAGUGUCAUUGUAAUCUCACCCCUGGAAUUUAUUUUCUGGGAGUGGACUUGGAUGCUGCCGUGUCACGGCUCGUCUGGAAUGUCUCAGUGUGCCCCGCCCGUCGGUGUUAACAGUGUGAUAGAUAUCUUCACUGGUUGCCUCUCCGGAGGCGCGCUCUCGGAUGGAUCGUGUGCUGCCAACCGUCUUCGGACAAUACUCUGACAGUUUGACCUCAAAUCGGGUGGGACUACCCGCUGAACUUAAGCAUAUCAAUAA